Molecule: long non-coding RNA, 510 nt
Organism: Macrobrachium nipponense
Lineage: Eukaryota; Metazoa; Arthropoda; Malacostraca; Decapoda; Palaemonidae
Exons: 3
Source: RefSeq, a predicted model, not a curated record
UUUAUUACUGAGGAAGGUUGUGGUCGUUUCAUUUUCGGUUCGUAGGUUACUGUGUGAAAUUUGCUACAAUUUAGAUUUUGAACGUCCGAAGAUCGGAUCCCGGUUCUACUAAAGGCGAGCGGCAUAUGGUUUGUGGUCAUGCGUUUCGACAUCGGGUGUAGAAUCCUUGCCUACGAGUUUCUCUUACGAUCCAUUGCCCCGAAUACUCUACGACUUGGAGGUUCUGAUAAAUCUGAUGAAUCUGCAGGUUGUUCCUAGAGAUAUGAACAUAAAUAAAAACACAUUUUAUUUGCAUCUGGUGGUAAUAAAAGCUCGUAAGCUUAAAACCAGUGUGCUCAGUCAUUGGUUUUUUUUUAACGUAUCCCAGGUAGUGUAUUGUAAACUGCUCCUGUUACUUGUUUGGAACUUGUUGAUUCUAGUUUUCAAAUUAUUUUUUAUAGCAUUUUAACCUGAUAUUAUAUCCAGAAUCUUUAAGAGAUUUUAACGCAUGAAAUAAAAUUUAUUACCGUG